AUUGAACGCUGGCGGCAGGCUUAACACAUGCAAGUCGAGCGGUAACAGAGAGAAGCUUGCUUCUCUGCUGACGAGCGGCGGACGGGUGAGUAAUGCCUAGGAAUCUGCCUAGUAGUGGGGGAUCACUUGCCGAAAGGUAAGCUAAUACCGCAUACGUCCUACGGGAGAAAGGAGGGGACCUUCGGGCCUUUCGCUAUUAGAUGAGCCUAGGUCGGAUUAGUUAGUUGGUGAGGUAAUGGCUCACCAAGACCGCGAUCCGUAACUGGUCGGAGAGGAUGAUCAGUCACACUGGAACUGAGACACGGUCCAGACUCCUACGGGAGGCAGCAGUGGGGAAUAUUGGACAAUGGGGGGAACCCUGAUCCAGCCAUGCCGCGUGUGUGAAGAAGGUCUUAGGAUUGUAAAGCACUUUAAGUUGGGAGGAAGAGCAGUUAACUAAUAUUUGACUGUUUUGACGUUACCGACAGAAUAAGCACCGGCUAACUUCGUGCCAGCCGCCGCAGUAA
This 506-nucleotide ribosomal RNA is filed under the name uncultured bacterium. RNAcentral describes it as "partial 16S ribosomal RNA". It matches the Rfam family "Bacterial small subunit ribosomal RNA", at positions 30 to 523 of the family's 1533-position model. The record is from RNAcentral.